GACGAACGCUGGCGGCGUGCUUAACACAUGCAAGUCGAACGGGUCUGCCCUGUUUUUUGCGGGGUGGGUCAGUGGCGAACGGGUGAGUAACACGUGAGUAACCUGCCCCUCACUUCUGGAUAACCGCUUGAAAGGGUGGCUAAUACGGGGUGUUCUGGCUGUGCCGCAUGGUGUGGCUGGGAAAGAUUCACUUUUGUGGUGUUUUGGUGGGGGAUGGGCUCGCGGCCUAUCAGCUUGUUGGUGGGGUGAUGGCCUGCCAAGGCUUUGAUGGGUAGCCGGCCUGAGAGGGUGGGCGGUCACACUGGGACUGAGAUACGGCCCAGACUCCUGCGGGAGGCAGCAGUGGGGGGUAUUGCACAAUGGGCGGAAGCCUGAUGCAGCGACGUCGCGUGAGGGAUGGAGGCCUUCGGGUUGUGAACCUCUUUCGCCGGUGAAGAAGGUCCUGCUCUUUGUGGUGGGGUUGACGGUAGCCGGGUUAUGAAGCGCCGGCUAACUACGUG
Molecule: ribosomal RNA, 500 nt
Filed under: uncultured bacterium
Lineage: Bacteria
Description: partial 16S ribosomal RNA
Rfam family: Bacterial small subunit ribosomal RNA
Source: RNAcentral